GCUCAGUUUCCGAUGCGUUUCCCUGUUGAGCAAUGGUGUGUAUUGGGAAUUGAGAAAUACCAGGAGCAGGUGAAACUAUCUGCUCCUAAAAACAAACCCUAAACGUGCAAAGUAGCUCAAAUUUUUCUGAUGAUCUUGUGCAAACCUUGGGCAGGAAAAUGGGGUGCCUGAAAUAGCAGAUGAAAGUAAACAGUGCGGAUGUCAGCUGUUGCUGGGAGAACUUAUUUAGCCAAACGAUGACAGUGGAUGUGAAUCUAGUGGCUAUCUGGAGAGGAAUACUGGAAUGUUCCAUUUGAAGGUGUCAAUGAAGCAUCAUACAGACAAACAUGCUACAAACUGAACAGAAGUCUCCCGUAACUUUCCCAGACUUUGAACAUAAUGGGAGAAAAAGAUAGCAUUUUGAGCAAGAGACAAACUUGUCUUUUUUCCCCUGUCUAGUGGACAUAGGGACAGGGGUUAAAAGUAAGUUUCAAUCCUGAUCUCAGCAUACAAGUGGCCAGAAAUACUAAUGUGUUAUAAAAAUAACAGUUUGAGAAAAACUAUUAAACACCCCUGCACUGCAGGUAAAGAAAGGAGAAACAGUAUACCUCACACUGAGUGCUGCUAAGCAGCUACCGU
Rhincodon typus (whale shark) is the source of this 618-nucleotide long non-coding RNA. RefSeq lists it as uncharacterized. The transcript has 3 exons. Lineage: Eukaryota; Metazoa; Chordata; Chondrichthyes; Orectolobiformes; Rhincodontidae. The record is from RefSeq and is a predicted model, not a curated record.